CAAAAAUAUGAACGGCGCUUUUGGAAGUCAGGAGAAAUGCUUUCAAUUAUCCAAUGGGUAGUAAACAAAGUCAGCCGUUAUGGUAUCGUUUGCAUCACUUGGGUAUUUCUGUGUGAUUUUUGUCUGUAUCAUGUUGAAUAAAAUUUUUAGAUUUUUAAGAGAUAGAUAACAGACUACUCAUUCAACUGGAUAUUACUACCAGAAAAAAAAAAUCGAAACAAACACAAAAUAUUCUCACACAAAAAGUGGCAACCCUGACAAGUUUGAUCAGAACACGUGCAUGGCAAGGUAGCUGCGAUACAUUAGAGUCUGUCUAGUCCUCCAAUUUCCAACAUGCGAUCUUUUAUGAAACAACUGAUGGGAUUUUUGGCCAUUCGUGCAUUUGAAAUUGAUUAUUACAAGUAUUUUACAAAUGGAGAAACCGAAUUACUCUAAACCUGUGCUGUUUGUGAAUAUGGCGCUAUCUUAAAAAGAGGACAAGGAACAGAGGACGUAGCAAUCCUCAAUGCAGUCAGCGGCCACAUUUGGUCAGAUACUUUAUUGGUUGCCAAAUUGAUCCCCAGCACAAGUCACC
This is a non-coding RNA of Styela clava, 574 nucleotides long. The record is from RefSeq and is a predicted model, not a curated record. NCBI's taxonomy places the organism in Eukaryota, Metazoa, Chordata, Ascidiacea, Stolidobranchia, Styelidae.